This 497-nucleotide ribosomal RNA is filed under the name uncultured bacterium. RNAcentral describes it as "partial 16S ribosomal RNA". It matches the Rfam family "Bacterial small subunit ribosomal RNA", at positions 28 to 507 of the family's 1533-position model. The record is from RNAcentral.
GAUGAACGCUGGCGGCGUGCCUAAUACAUGCAGGUCGAGCGAACGGACGAGAAGCUUGCUUCUCUGAUGUUAGCGGCGGACGGGUGAGUAACACGUGGAUAACCUACCUAUAAGACUGGGAUAACUUCGGGAAACCGUAGCUAAUACCGGAUAAUAUUUUGAACCGCAUGGUUCAAAGGUGAAAGACGGUCUUGCUGUCACUUAUAGAUGGAUCCGCGCUGCAUUAGCUAGUUGGUAAGGUAACGGCUUACCAAGGCAACGAUGCAUAGCCGACCUGAGAGGGUGAUCGGCCACACUGGAACUGAGACACGGUCCAGACUCCUACGGGAGGCAGCAGUAGGGAAUCUUCCGCAAUGGGCGAAAGCCUGACGGAGCAACGCCGCGUGAGUGAUGAAGGUCUUCGGAUCGUAAAACUCUGUUAUUAGGGAAGAACAUAUGUGUAAGUAACUGUGCACAUCUUGACGGUACCUAAUCAGAAAGCCACGGCUAACUACGUG